This 253-nucleotide ribosomal RNA is filed under the name uncultured bacterium. RNAcentral's name for it is "partial 16S ribosomal RNA". It matches the Rfam family "Bacterial small subunit ribosomal RNA", at positions 524 to 776 of the family's 1533-position model. The record is from RNAcentral.
GACGGAAGGUGCAAGCGUUGCUCGGAAUCACUGGGCGUAAAGGGUGCGUAGGCGGCCGCGCAAGUCUGGCGUGAAAGCCCCGGGCUCAGCCCGGGAAGGGCGCUCGAAACGGCGCGGCUCGAGUGCCGGAGGGGAGAGUGGAAUUCCUGGUGUAGCGGUGAAAUGCGUAGAUAUCAGGAGGAAUACCGGUGGCGAAAGCGACUCUCUGGACGGCAACUGACGCUGAGGCACGAAAGCGUGGGGAGCGAACAGG